UACGGAGGGUGCAAGCGUUAUCCGGAUUCACUGGGUUUAAAGGGUGCGUAGGUGGGCUAGUAAGUCCGUGGUGAAAUCCCUGAGCUUAACUUGGGAACUGCCAUUGAUACUAUUAGUCUUGAAUAUCGUGGAGGUAAGCGGAAUAUGUCAUGUAGCGGUGAAAUGCUUAGAUAUGACAUAGAACACCAAUUGCGAAGGCAGCUCACUACUCAAUCAUUGACUCUGAGGCACGAAAGCGUGGGGAUCAAACAGG
RNAcentral lists this ribosomal RNA (253 nucleotides) under uncultured bacterium. Its description in RNAcentral is "partial 16S ribosomal RNA". It matches the Rfam family "Bacterial small subunit ribosomal RNA", at positions 524 to 776 of the family's 1533-position model. The record is from RNAcentral.